This 2016-nucleotide unclassified non-coding RNA is filed under the name Hevea brasiliensis (rubber tree). The record is from RNAcentral. Lineage: Eukaryota; Viridiplantae; Streptophyta; Magnoliopsida; Malpighiales; Euphorbiaceae.
GGGUCUUUUUCUUGUCUGCGCUACUCUAGAGUCAAGGCACUGUUUCCUCUGUUGCAGUCUCGCUGCUAUUCCAUCUAGUGUCCUUCAACACCACCGUAGCCCCCUCCGUCUCCGGCGACGGAGCUGCUGCUGCAACUUUCUUUACACAUCCUCUACACGCUCUGCACCCCGACCACAAACCACCACAAAGGUUUGUUCUCAGUGCUUCCCUGCCCUUUCUCUGUUUCGAGAUUUGUUGAUUUAUAUAUGUAUGUACUGAGAGAAAGGAAGUGAAUCCCUUGGUUGAUUCGCAGCUCAAACCCUAGUCUAAGAUUAAAAAUCAUCAAGUUUUUCCUCUGUUCUUAGCUAUUUAAUUGCUUAUCUUUCUUCUGCCUAUAUAUAUCUAUAUGAGACUGAAAUUGCCCUAAUUCUAUCUGAACUUCAUGUGUUUUCUUAUCCGUUGUUUCUUGUUGUUUGUUUUUAUUGUUAAAUUGUUAAUUUUUUUUUAUGGGGUUUGCUUUAAAAGCUUCAAAGGCAUCUAUUAUACUCUGAAUUUGUAAUAUCCUUCAACAGUAAUUGCAGCAAUAAGCAUGUAUUUAUUAUCCUCAGGUUAGUAGGACAAUAAACUGGAUGAAAUUGCCUCAUAAACUUGAUAUUGAAUGCUGAAUUUGUGAGAAUCAUAACUCUGAACAAACGUGAUCAUCAAAUGUACAAAAUCUUGGUCUGGGCUCAGGUUUUUAUCCCUAUUAGGGAAAAUAAUGCAGGACUUUUGUCCGUCUAGUCAAAGAAUAUUGAUAUUAUGGAUUUAUUUGACAGAUAUUUUAUCGUGCCUGUAAUUCCAACUUGUGGAGUAUGGACCGGUUAGCCAUAUCCUUUCUUCUAUUGGUUCCUGAAAUUUCUAUAUAAACAUAGGAACAACCCAAUAGACAACUUAAGCAUUCGAAGCUUAGAAAGAUUCUGAACAAAGAUGGCUGGUCAAGAAAAAACUCUAGUGGAAAUCUUAGAAGAGAAUAACCCUAUUGAUCUUUCCAAAUGCAUAAACUAUGUCAGUGCUCCACAGGCUGGUGCCAUAGCUACAUUUUCAGGCACAACUCGGGACACAUUCGAAGGGAAGAUAGUUGUGGAGCUAAGGUAUGAAGCAUAUGUACCAAUGGCGGUACGCCAGAUCAAAUCCAUAUGUUCAUCAGCUAGAUUAUCUUGGAAUGUCCACUCCAUUGCUGUUGCACACCGCCUGGGUCCAGUUCCAGUCGGAGAAACUAGUGUCUUUAUUGCAGUAUCAGCUGUUCAUCGAGCUGAUGCUCUGGAUGCUUGUAAGUUUGUUAUUGAUGAGUUAAAGGCAUCUGUUCCAAUAUGGAAGAAGGAAGUUUAUUCCAAUGGAGAGGUUUGGAAGGAGAAUUCGGAGUUUAUGGAGAGGAGGCAGGAACUAGGAAAGACGGGCUGCUGCAGCAAGAAGGUUGAGUUUGAGGCACAUGUCACAAAGGGCUGCUGUGGAUCUAAGGUCAAAGUGAAUGAUGAAGCUGCAAAAGAUGAGCAUCAAUGAUGAAACUGAGAAAUAGAAAAUUCCAUGGAAAUUGCAGGAUUUAUUUUUUUCUUAACUUUUGUUUAAACACAAGGAAAAUAAAAAGGGAAAUGAUUGUACCAGUAUUUUAUGUAACUUGUCUAAAUAAAAUGCUGGCCCUUCUGGUUUGUUCUUCACUCAAAUUCCACAUACCAAUUGGGAUGGUAUGGUGAUUUGAGUUCAUAUCAGCAUGUUUUACAUUGCCGUUCUUGAGUAAGAAGUAGCUUUUUGUGACUCUGCUUUCCCUUCUAAUAAGUCGACCCACCACCGUAAAUGAAAAGUUCAUAUAUUGUUUGGUUAUGGAUGAAAUUUGACCCACCAUAAAUGAAAAUUGUUUGCAACUUCGUUUUUUCUCUACUUGCACGCCGUCAAGAAUGGUUAUGGGUUUAGGUUAGGCUAACCUUUAACAGAAUUGAAUUGUUCGUUAGCCAGAAGACAAGACUCACUGGCAAACGAAAUUGGCUUUUUGCAGAAUCUAG